GGCGGUGUGGCGGAAUUGGUAGACGCGGCAGAUUCAAAAUCUGCUGGGCUAGCGCCCGUGAGGGUUCAAGUCCCUCCACCGCUA
This 84-nucleotide transfer RNA is filed under the name Salinibacter ruber. Its description in RNAcentral is "tRNA-Leu". It matches the Rfam family "tRNA". From Rfam's summary of the family: Transfer RNA (tRNA) molecules are approximately 80 nucleotides in length. Their secondary structure includes four short double-helical elements and three loops (D, anti-codon, and T loops). Further hydrogen bonds mediate the characteristic L-shaped molecular structure. tRNAs have two regions of fundamental functional importance: the anti-codon, which is responsible for specific mRNA codon recognition, and the 3' end, to which the tRNAs corresponding amino acid is attached (by aminoacyl-tRNA synthetases). tRNAs cope with the degeneracy of the genetic code in two manners: having more than one tRNA (with a specific anti-codon) for a particular amino acid; and 'wobble' base-pairing, i.e. permitting non-standard base-pairing at the 3rd anti-codon position. Lineage: Bacteria; Pseudomonadati; Rhodothermota; Rhodothermia; Rhodothermales; Salinibacteraceae. The record is from RNAcentral.